CUAAUAUUUCCGGUGUAUGUUUUGCAUCGACGUAGUUCUAAUGUCCGUGCAUCACAACCAUCUAGUGAGGACAAUGCACACUAACCAAAUAACACCUGACAGCAACAUUGUUUUCUUUCACUCUUUUGUUCCAAGGCUCCUAACGCCGCAGCUUUAACACGGAAGUAGGCCAGAAGACAGCGCAUGACCGCCUGGUGGCAGACGACCAGAACAUUGCCUUGCCUCUCCAGUUCCAUGAUGGCCGGCUCCAGACGCUGGACCAGAUCCUGGACAGAUGUGGGCGCUGUUUCCCUGGCAACGCGGACCCCAGAGAACGGGUCAGAACAUGACAACCGGUUCUGCCACAUCAUCGGUCCACCGUGUAUGGAGAUACGGCAACACGAACACAGGUAACGUCAUAUAUUCGUAUUCAUAUUUACAUUUUCACUUUACAUGACGACCAUUGUUUCUUACCUUGGUAAGUUAAUGGCUGCAGGACCGGAAUGGCCGCCGUUAAGGUGAAUGGCUGUCUGUAGGGCAGAUGCCGGUUCUGUCAAGCCGUCCUUAGUUUCUCUCGGUCCGGCUGGCUGGCGUCAUUCCAAAGCGGAGGCGUGCCGCUACGUCACAGUGUCUUGCCGUAAUAUUGGUAAUAGACGCGCAAGCAUAUUUCAGUUGACACUGUGCUGAAAUUGUGAAAAAAAAGUGGGCCUUCAUCUGAAAUGAGCUGAACAAUUUGAAUUGUUUGAAUCCAUUAGAACAUGUGGAAGUACUUCAUUAACAAUUCUACACAUUUUGU
Molecule: long non-coding RNA, 775 nt
Organism: Doryrhamphus excisus (bluestripe pipefish)
Lineage: Eukaryota; Metazoa; Chordata; Actinopteri; Syngnathiformes; Syngnathidae
Source: RefSeq, a predicted model, not a curated record